This 324-nucleotide ribosomal RNA is filed under the name uncultured Enterobacteriaceae bacterium. RNAcentral's name for it is "bacterial SSU rRNA". It matches the Rfam family "Bacterial small subunit ribosomal RNA", at positions 355 to 655 of the family's 1533-position model. Lineage: Bacteria; Pseudomonadati; Pseudomonadota; Gammaproteobacteria; Enterobacterales; Enterobacteriaceae. The record is from RNAcentral.
UGGGGAAGUAUUGCAUCAAUGGGCAGGCAAGCCAUGACUGCAGCCAUGCCGCGCUGUAUGAAGAAGGCCAAUUCGGGGCUUUGGUUAAAGAUACUUUUCAGCGGAGGAGGAGGCGUUGUGGUUAAUAACCGCAGCGAUUGACGUUACUCGCAGAAGAAGCACCGGCUAACUCCGUGCCAGCAGCCGCGGUAAUACGGAGGGUGCAAGCGUUAAUCGGAAUUACUGGGCGUAAAGCGCACGCAGGCGGUCUGUCAAGUCGGAUGUGAAAUCCCCGGGCUCAACCUGGGAACUGCAUCCGAAACUGGCAGGCUAGAGUCUUGUAGA